RNAcentral lists this ribosomal RNA (347 nucleotides) under uncultured soil foraminiferan. RNAcentral describes it as "partial small subunit ribosomal RNA". It matches the Rfam family "Eukaryotic small subunit ribosomal RNA", at positions 1160 to 1422 of the family's 1831-position model. The record is from RNAcentral. Lineage: Eukaryota; Foraminifera.
AAGGGCACCACAAGAACGCGUGGAGCAUGUGGCUUAAUUUGACUCAACGCGGGAAAUCUUACCGGGUCCGGACACACUGAGGAUUGACAGGCGCAUGUAGUUUUUUUCUUUUUUUUUCUUUCGGGAAAGAAAAAAAAAAGAACUACUAUAAAUAUGCUAGUCCUUUCAUGAUUGUGUGAUAGGUGGUGCAUGGCCGUUCUUAGUUCGUGGAGUGAUCUGUCUGCUUAAUUGCGUUUCAGAAAUAGGUUCUUUGAGGUUUUGUUGUUACAGUGUGACAAUAGUUUCUUCGGAAAUUAUGCUGUCCCUGUAGCUCAGCCCAUGAACCUUGAAGGCAACGAACGUGACCG